RNAcentral lists this unclassified non-coding RNA (329 nucleotides) under soil metagenome. RNAcentral describes it as "partial contains 5.8S ribosomal RNA, internal transcribed spacer 2, and large subunit ribosomal RNA". The stretch from base 1 to 120 matches the Rfam family "5.8S ribosomal RNA", at positions 35 to 154 of the family's 154-position model. The record is from RNAcentral.
GAUGAAGAGCGUAGCGAAAUGCGAUAAGUAAUGUGAAUUGCAGAAUUCAGUGAAUCAUCGAAUCUUUGAACGCACAUUGCGCCCCCUGGUAUUCCGGGGGGCAUGCCUGUCCGAGCGUCAUUACAACCCUCAAGCUCAGCUUGGUAUUGGGCCCCGCCGACCCGGCGGGCCCUAAAGUCAGUGGCGGUGCCGUCCGGCUCCGAGCGUAGUAAUUCUUCUCGCUCUGGAGGUCCGGUCGUGUGCUCGCCAGCAACCCCCAAUUUUUUUCAGGUUGACCUCGGAUCAGGUAGGGAUACCCGCUGAACUUAAGCAUAUCAAUAAGCGGAGGA